This 1203-nucleotide ribosomal RNA is filed under the name Salmonella enterica subsp. enterica serovar Stanley. Its description in RNAcentral is "partial 23S ribosomal RNA". It matches the Rfam family "Bacterial large subunit ribosomal RNA", at positions 973 to 2159 of the family's 2925-position model. Lineage: Bacteria; Pseudomonadati; Pseudomonadota; Gammaproteobacteria; Enterobacterales; Enterobacteriaceae. The record is from RNAcentral.
UAUCACGGGAGACACACGGCGGGUGCUAACGUCCGUCGUGAAGAGGGAAACAACCCAGACCGCCAGCUAAGGUCCCAAAGUCAUGGUUAAGUGGGAAACGAUGUGGGAAGGCCCAGACAGCCAGGAUGUUGGCUUAGAAGCAGCCAUCAUUUAAAGAAAGCGUAAUAGCUCACUGGUCGAGUCGGCCUGCGCGGAAGAUGUAACGGGGCUAAACCAUGCACCGAAGCUGCGGCAGCGACACUGUGUGUUGUUGGGUAGGGGAGCGUUCUGUAAGCCUGUGAAGGUGUGUCGUGAGGCAUGCUGGAGGUAUCAGAAGUGCGAAUGCUGACAUAAGUAACGAUAAAGCGGGUGAAAAGCCCGCUCGCCGGAAGACCAAGGGUUCCUGUCCAACGUUAAUCGGGGCAGGGUGAGUCGACCCCUAAGGCGAGGCCGAAAGGCGUAGUCGAUGGGAAACGGGUUAAUAUUCCCGUACUUGGUGUUACUGCGAAGGGGGGACGGAGAAGGCUAUGUUGGCCGGGCGACGGUUGUCCCGGUUUAAGCGUGUAGGUGUGUGUUCCAGGUAAAUCCGGUUCACUUUAACACUGAGGCGUGACGACGAGGCACUACGGUGCUGAAGCAACAAAUGCCCUGCUUCCAGGAAAAGCCUCUAAGCAUCAGGUAACAUCAAAUCGUACCCCAAACCGACACAGGUGGUCAGGUAGAGAAUACCAAGGCGCUUGAGAGAACUCGGGUGAAGGAACUAGGCAAAAUGGUGCCGUAACUUCGGGAGAAGGCACGCUGACACGUAGGUGAAGUGAUUUACUCAUGGAGCUGAAGUCAGUCGAAGAUACCAGCUGGCUGCAACUGUUUAUUAAAAACACAGCACUGUGCAAACACGAAAGUGGACGUAUACGGUGUGACGCCUGCCCGGUGCCGGAAGGUUAAUUGAUGGGGUCAGCGCAAGCGAAGCUCCUGAUCGAAGCCCCGGUAAACGGCGGCCGUAACUAUAACGGUCCUAAGGUAGCGAAAUUCCUUGUCGGGUAAGUUCCGACCUGCACGAAUGGCGUAAUGAUGGCCAGGCUGUCUCCACCCGAGACUCAGUGAAAUUGAACUCGCUGUGAAGAUGCAGUGUACCCGCGGCAAGACGGAAAGACCCCGUGAACCUUUACUAUAGCUUGACACUGAACAUUGAGCCUUGAUGUGUAGGAUAGGUGGGAGGCUUUG